GCUAAAAUAGCAAAGAGGUCAAUGCAGAAGAUUUAGGAUCUUUUAUCGAGGGUUCGACUCCUUCUUUUAGCU
This 72-nucleotide transfer RNA is filed under the name Nacospatangus altus. RNAcentral's name for it is "Nacospatangus alta tRNA-Leu". It matches the Rfam family "tRNA". Rfam says of the family: Transfer RNA (tRNA) molecules are approximately 80 nucleotides in length. Their secondary structure includes four short double-helical elements and three loops (D, anti-codon, and T loops). Further hydrogen bonds mediate the characteristic L-shaped molecular structure. tRNAs have two regions of fundamental functional importance: the anti-codon, which is responsible for specific mRNA codon recognition, and the 3' end, to which the tRNAs corresponding amino acid is attached (by aminoacyl-tRNA synthetases). tRNAs cope with the degeneracy of the genetic code in two manners: having more than one tRNA (with a specific anti-codon) for a particular amino acid; and 'wobble' base-pairing, i.e. permitting non-standard base-pairing at the 3rd anti-codon position. Lineage: Eukaryota; Metazoa; Echinodermata; Echinoidea; Spatangoida; Maretiidae. The record is from RNAcentral.